Molecule: unclassified non-coding RNA, 353 nt
Filed under: soil metagenome
Description: partial contains 5.8S ribosomal RNA, internal transcribed spacer 2, and large subunit ribosomal RNA
Rfam family: 5.8S ribosomal RNA (bases 1-120)
Source: RNAcentral
GAUGAAGAACGUAGCGAAAUGCGAUAAGUAAUGUGAAUUGCAGAAUUCCGUGAAUCAUCGAAUCUUUGAACGCACAUUGCGCCCGCCAGUAUUCUGGCGGGCAUGCCUGUUCGAGCGUCAUUACAACCCUCAGGCCCCCGGGCCUGGCGUUGGGGAUCGGCGGAAGCCCCCUGCGGGCACAACGCCGUCCCCCAAAUACAGUGGCGGUCCCGCCGCAGCUUCCAUUGCGUAGUAGCUAACACCUCGCAACUGGAGAGCGGCGCGGCCACGCCGUAAAACACCCAACUUCUGAAUGUUGACCUCGAAUCAGGUAGGAAUACCCGCUGAACUUAAGCAUAUCAAUAAGCGGAGGA